GCUCUGUUUAGAAAGAUCUUAGCAGAAACACUUCCCACAAGUUAUCAGAAUGAUUGUGUCGACACUUUUUCUCAGUUUGUUACUGACUUUCUUAUCAUGUGUCCAAUCGGAGGUUGUUUUGACCCAGCCAGAGGCAGAGACUGGCCGUCCCGCAGGCAGCCUGAAACUGACCUGUAAAACCAGCGGGUUCGAUCUUGGCAGCUACGACAUGUACUGGGUCCGACAGGUUCCCGGACAGGGUCUGGAGUGGCUGCUGUACUACUAUAGUUCAUCCAGCAGUAACUAUGCACCAGCGAUUAAGGGUCGAUUUACUGCGUCCAAAGACACUUCAAACAACAUUUUCGCGUUGGACAUGGAGAACCUGAAGAUCGAAGACACCGCCAUCUAUUACUGUGCAGGAGACGCUGGAGUGGACUAUCUUGAUUACUGGGGCCAAGGGACCAUGGUGACAGUGACUUCAGGUCAGACCCUUGAACUUUCUUAGUGACUUUUUAAAAAC
Molecule: non-coding RNA, 499 nt
Organism: Chiloscyllium plagiosum (whitespotted bambooshark)
Lineage: Eukaryota; Metazoa; Chordata; Chondrichthyes; Orectolobiformes; Hemiscylliidae
Source: the annotation of a RefSeq genome assembly